GAAGUGUGGACGCCAGUCUGCAUGGAGCCGACCUUGAAAUACCACCCUUUAAUGUUUGAUGUUCUAACGUUGACCCGUAAUCCGGGUUGCGGACAGUGUCUGGUGGGUAGUUUGACUGGGGCGGUCUCCUCCUAAAGAGUAACGGAGGAGCACGAAGGUUGGCUAAUCCUGGUCGGACAUCAGGAGGUUAGUGCAAUGGCAUAAGCCAGCUUGACUGCGAGCGUGACGGCGCGAGCAGGUGCGAAAGCAGGUCAUAGUGAUCCGGUGGUUCUGAAUGGAAGGGCCAUCGCUCAACGGAUAAAAGGUACUCCGGGGAUAACAGGCUGAUACCGCCCAAGAGUUCAUAUCGACGGCGGUGUUUGGCACCUCGAUGUCGGCUCAUCACAUCCUGGGGCUGAAGUAGGUCCCAAGGGUAUGGCUGUUCGCCAUUUAAAGUGGUACGCGAGCUGGGUUUAGAACGUCGUGAGACAGUUCGGUCCCUAUCUGCCGUGGGCGCUGGAGAACUGAGGGGGGCUGCUCCUAGUACGAGAGGACCGGAGUGGACGCAUCACUGGUGUUCGGGUUGUCAUGCCAAUGGCACUGCCCGGUAGCUAAAUGCGGAAGAGAUAAGUGCUGAAAGCAUCUAAGCACGAAACUUGCCCCGAGAUGAGUUCUCCCUGAC
This 661-nucleotide ribosomal RNA is filed under the name Escherichia coli. Its description in RNAcentral is "bacterial LSU rRNA". It matches the Rfam family "Bacterial large subunit ribosomal RNA", at positions 2159 to 2819 of the family's 2925-position model. Lineage: Bacteria; Pseudomonadati; Pseudomonadota; Gammaproteobacteria; Enterobacterales; Enterobacteriaceae. RNAcentral also lists the same sequence under 1 other name. The record is from RNAcentral.